AAACUCUCAACGAUGGAUAUCUUGGUUCCUACGACGAUGAAGAACGCAGCGAAGUGCGAAAAGCAGUGCGAAUUGCAGAACCGUGAGUCAUCAGAUCUUUGAACGCAACCGGCGCCGAGUGGCUUGCCAGUCGGCAUGCUUGUUUCAGUGUUUUAUAUCCCCUUCACCCAAAU
RNAcentral lists this ribosomal RNA (173 nucleotides) under Epiclintes auricularis auricularis. RNAcentral describes it as "5.8S ribosomal RNA". The stretch from base 2 to 153 matches the Rfam family "5.8S ribosomal RNA". From Rfam's summary of the family: 5.8S ribosomal RNA (5.8S rRNA) is a component of the large subunit of the eukaryotic ribosome. It is transcribed by RNA polymerase I as part of the 45S precursor that also contains 18S and 28S rRNA. Functionally, it is thought that 5.8S rRNA may be involved in ribosome translocation. Lineage: Eukaryota; Ciliophora; Spirotrichea; Stichotrichida; Epiclintidae. The record is from RNAcentral.